This 324-nucleotide unclassified non-coding RNA is filed under the name Melitaea cinxia (Glanville fritillary). RNAcentral's name for it is "misc RNA ENSMCXG00005020651.1". Lineage: Eukaryota; Metazoa; Arthropoda; Insecta; Lepidoptera; Nymphalidae. The record is from RNAcentral.
UUUUGAUUUUUUAACCGACUUCCAAAAAAGGAGGAGGUUCUCAAUUCGACUGUAUUUUUUUUUUUUUUUUUUUUUUUUUUUUAUGUAUGUUACAUCAGAACUUUUGACUGGGUGGAGUGAUUUCGACAAAUUUUCUUUUAAUCGAAAGGUGUUGUGUGCCAAUUGGUCCCAUUUAAAUUUAUUUGAGAUCUCACAACUACUUUUCGAGCUAUAUCUAAUAAUGCGUUUUUACUUGACGCUUUUUUCGUCGACCUACGUUGUAUUAUACCGCAUAACUUUCUACUGGAUGUACCGAUUUUGAUAAUUCUUUUUUUGUUGGAAAGG